Molecule: ribosomal RNA, 502 nt
Filed under: uncultured bacterium
Lineage: Bacteria
Description: partial 16S ribosomal RNA
Rfam family: Bacterial small subunit ribosomal RNA
Source: RNAcentral
GACGAACGCUGGCGGCGUGCCUAAUACAUGCAAGUCGAACGAACCGCGACUAGGUGCUUGCACUUGGUCAAGGUGAGUGGCGAACGGGUGAGUAACACGUGGGUAACCUACCUCAUAGUUGGGUAUAACAGUCGGAAACGACUGCUAAUACCGCAUAGGACAUAGGAUCACAUGAUCCAGUGAGGAAAGGUGGCGCAAGCUAUCGCUAAGAGAUGGACCCGCGGUGCAUUAGCUAGUUGGUAGGGUAAAGGCCUACCAAGGCGAUGAUGCAUAGCCGACCUGAGAGGGUGAUCGGCCACAUUGGGACUGAGACACGGCCCAAACUCCUACGGGAGGCAGCAGUAGGGAAUCUUCCGCAAUGGACGCAAGUCUGACGGAGCAACGCCGCGUGAGUGAAGAAGGUCUUCGGAUCGUAAAGCUCUGUUGUUAGAGAAGAACAGCGCAUAGAGUAACUGUUAUGCGUGUGACGGUAUCUAACCAGAAAGCAACGGCUAACUACGUG